This 449-nucleotide ribosomal RNA is filed under the name uncultured bacterium. Its description in RNAcentral is "partial 16S ribosomal RNA". It matches the Rfam family "Bacterial small subunit ribosomal RNA", at positions 354 to 796 of the family's 1533-position model. The record is from RNAcentral.
GUGGGGAAUUUUGGACAAUGGGCGAAAGCCUGAUCCAGCCAUGCCGCGUGCAGGAUGAAGGCCUUCGGGUUGUAAACUGCUUUUGUACGGAACGAAAAGACUCCUUCUAAUAAGGGGGUCCAUGACGGUACCGUAAGAAUAAGCACCGGCUAACUACGUGCCAGCAGCCGCGGUAAUACGUAGGGUGCAAGCGUUAAUCGGAAUUACUGGGCGUAAAGCGUGCGCAGGCGGUUAUAUAAGACAGAUGUGAAAUCCCCGGGCUCAACCUGGGAACUGCAUUUGUGACUGUAUAGCUAGAGUACGGUAGAGGGGGAUGGAAUUCCGCGUGUAGCAGUGAAAUGCGUAGAUAUGCGGAGGAACACCGAUGGCGAAGGCAAUCCCCUGGACCUGUACUGACGCUCAUGCACGAAAGCGUGGGGAGCAAACAGGAUUAGAUACCCUAGUAGUCC